AUGUUUGAUUUGGGUUUCUUGGGUCCGAAAUUCACUUUGUGCAAUAGGCAAGACCCCAAUAGCAAUGUCCGAUGUCGUUUAGACCGUGCCAUGGCUAACAGUGCCUCCACCGGUCUAUUUGAUGAUUGUAGCAUGGAGAAUGUCAUUGCCAAUACAUCUGAUCAUUAUCCAAUACUUGUUUACCUGGACAGCGGUUCCCAACAGCGCCACUCGGCCCCAGUACAGCAAGGUGUCAGAUUUGAGGUGAUGUGGUUACGAGCAUCUGAUUAUAAAGAGACCCUCGAACAAGCAUGGUCUGCUGGUAGAGAUGGUCGUUUGUCUUUGAGUUUGACAUGGGCGAAUUUGAAGGAUGUGGCUGGAUCUCUGUGUUCCCGAAGCAAGGGAGCUUUUGGCUCUAUUUGUAAGAACAUUGGAAAGAUGGAGCACCGACUGGCUUCGAUUAGGGCUUCUCCGCCUUCCCCAGUAUCUCUGUCAGAAGAAAAGCACAUUGAGAGUCAGCUACACGAGCUGUUUGAACGUGAGGAAAUCAUGGAACGUCAACGCUCACGGGUGGAUUGGCUAAAGGCAGGAGACCGUAAUACCGAGUUCUUCCAGGCUAGAGCAUCGGCUAUAAGGAGAACUAACAGAAUCCACUCGCUUCUCCGGGAGGAUGGUUCAACAUGCAACUCUCAAGGGCAGAUCAAGGGCUUGGUGCAGUCCUACUAUGAAAAACUCUUCACAUCUGAACCAUGCCCGACUGAUGAUGAGGUUUUGCAAGCUAUUCCUAAUAAGGUGUUCAGUGAGAUCAAGGCUAUGUUGUUUCAGAUGGGACCAACCAAGGCCCCCGGACCUGACGGAUUCCCUGCUAUUUUUACCAGACCCAUUGGAACUUCUUGGGGGAUGACAUAUGUCAGGCAGUUCGUGGUUUGUUGGAGGGGGGCCGAUUCUGGAGGGUUUUUGUGA
RNAcentral lists this ribosomal RNA (942 nucleotides) under Triticum aestivum (bread wheat). Its description in RNAcentral is "partial small subunit ribosomal RNA". Lineage: Eukaryota; Viridiplantae; Streptophyta; Magnoliopsida; Poales; Poaceae. The record is from RNAcentral.